GAGCUGGUCUCUCUGAGGCAAGUGCUUACCUUCUGCGCUUUCUUACCUUUCCACCUGGUGCACAUUUGUAGACCGUGAAUAGACUCUCGCCUUAACAAGCGGAUUUGAAGCUUGCACGCAAGUGCUUGCUUCUACAUAUUCUCAGGUCUAUGUUUCAUACACACUUUAUAACACAUUGAAUGUUUGUUUACUGGUUGUAACAGACCUCUAAAUAAUAUACAACUUUUAGCAACGGAUCUCUUGGCUCUCGCAUCGAUGAAGAACGCAGCGAAAUGCGAUAAGUAAUGUGAAUUGCAGAAUUCAGUGAAUCAUCGAAUCUUUGAACGCACCUUGCGCUCUUUGGUAUUCCGAAGAGCAUGCCUGUUUGAGUGUCAUUAAAUUCUCAACCUCUACUCGGUUUUGCGACUGAUGUUAGUAGGCUUGGAUUUGGAGGCUGCCGGCAUCUGUAAAAAGAAGUCAGCUCCUCUUAAAAGUAUUAGCAGUAACUAGAUAACUGUUCCUUGAUGUGAUAAUUAUCUACGUCUUGGUCAAUGGAAAUCAUUAUAACGUUAUGCUUCUAACUGUCUGUUAACUCAGACUGUUUGCUUGUCAAACAUUAUGACUCUUGACCUCAAAUCAGGUAGGACUACCCGCUGAACUUAAGCAUAUCAAUAAGCGGAGGAAAAGAAACUAACAAGGAUUCCCCUAGUAACUGCGAGUGAAGCGGGAAAAGCUCAAAUUUAAAAUCUGUUAGCCUUUGGUUGACCGAGUUGUAAUUUAGAGAAGCGUUAUCCGCGUUGGACUGUGUAUAAGUUUCCUGGAAGGGGACAUCAUAGAGGGUGAGAAUCCCGUCUUUGACACAGACUACCAAGGCUUUGUGAUGCGCUCUCGAAGAGUCGAGUUGUUUGGGAAUGCAGCUCAAAAUGGGAGGUAAAUUCCUUCUAAAGCUAAAUAUUGGCGAGAGACCGAUAGCGAACAAGUACCGUGAGGGAAAGAUGAAAAGAACUUUGGAAAGAGAGUUAAACAGUACGUGAAAUUGCUAAAAGGGAAACGCUUGAAGUCAGUCGCGUUGGCUGGAAAUCAACCUUGCUCUUGCUUGGUGUAUUUUCUAGUCGACGGGUCAACAUCAGUUUUGAUUGCUGGAUAAAGUGUGAGGGAAUGUGGCAUCUUCGGAUGUGUUAUAGCCCUUGCUCGUAUACAGCGGUUGGGACUGAGGAACUCAGCACGCCGCAAGGCCGGGUC
Molecule: small RNA, 1221 nt
Filed under: Athelia bombacina
Lineage: Eukaryota; Fungi; Basidiomycota; Agaricomycetes; Atheliales; Atheliaceae
Description: eukaryotic LSU rRNA
Rfam family: Eukaryotic large subunit ribosomal RNA (bases 606-1221)
Source: RNAcentral